CCUACGGGUGGCUGCAGUGGGGGAUAUUGCACAAUGGGGGGAACCCUGAUGCAGCGACGCCGCGUGGGUGAAGGAGCGUUUCGGCGCGUAAAGCCCUAUCGGCAGGGAAGAAGAUGACGGUACCUGACCAAGAAGCCCCGGCUAACUACGUGCCAGCAGCCGCGGUAAUACGUAGGGGGCAAGCGUUAUCCGGAAGCACUGGGUGUAAAGGGAGCGUAGACGGCUGAGCAAGCCUGAAGGGAAAGGCGGGGGACCAACCCCUGGACUGCUUUGGGAACUGUACGGCUGGAGUGCAGGAGAGGUAAGUGGAAUUCGUGGUGUAGCGGUGAAAUGCGUAGAUAUUAGGAGGAACACCAGUGGCGAAGGCGGCUUACUGGACUGUAACUGACGUUGAGGCUCGAAAGCGUGGGGAGCAAACAGGAUUAGAUACCCGUGUAGUC
This 440-nucleotide ribosomal RNA is filed under the name uncultured bacterium. Its description in RNAcentral is "partial 16S ribosomal RNA". It matches the Rfam family "Bacterial small subunit ribosomal RNA", at positions 338 to 795 of the family's 1533-position model. The record is from RNAcentral.